RNAcentral lists this non-coding RNA (174 nucleotides) under pig gut metagenome. RNAcentral's name for it is "Lysine riboswitch". It matches the Rfam family "Lysine riboswitch aptamer". From Rfam's summary of the family: Riboswitches are metabolite binding domains within certain messenger RNAs that serve as precision sensors for their corresponding targets. Allosteric rearrangement of mRNA structure is mediated by ligand binding, and this results in modulation of gene expression. This family includes riboswitches that sense lysine in a number of genes involved in lysine metabolism, including lysC. The record is from RNAcentral.
ACAAUAGAGGUGCAGAAGGCAGGGUAAUCGGUUUCGGGACUGCAGGGGGUCCGGAGGAGGCCGGUGAAGGGGUCUUUUGCCGAAGGUGCGUGCGUUUCCUGCGGCACGUGCCUGGGGGUGCGGUGUAAGCGGCACAACUGUCAUGUCCUUUAUCAGACAUGGAGCGCUAUUGGU